CCGACGCCUCUUUCCUCCGCUCCUCUCCUCUCCUCUCCUCUCUCUCCUUAUCUUCUCCCUCUUCCUCUCCCUCGCUCACUACCAAUCAAUGGCGGCAGGGACGGCCUUCAAGCCCAUAUCCAUGGCCGAAGGCCUUCUUCCCUACCUCCCGGCCGCCUUCUUCUCUUCCAAACCCUCUCUCGCCCACCUCCCAUUGCUCCGCUCCUCCAGGCCCUUACCGUUCCUCCACCUCUCCUGCUCGCGCUCAUCUUCAUCGAUCUCCCUUAGAAGGAAGCUCCCUUUGCUCCCCCUUGUGGCCCAGACUUCCGACUGGGCUAGCCAGGAGGAGGAGGAGCAGGAGGCGAGCGAGGUCGAGGACCGCGGUUUUGGCUUGGAAGGGUUCGACGAGGGGGAUGAACCUGGGCUCUCGGAGUUGGAAGGAGAGGAGGUGCAGGCGGAGGACAGUGGGGUGGUCGCCCAGGGGGAGGGCGAGUUUGUCGAGGGAGAAGAGGAGGAGGAGGAGGA
This 504-nucleotide long non-coding RNA is filed under the name Musa acuminata (dwarf banana). RNAcentral's name for it is "long non-coding RNA (MACU_LNC002899)". The record is from RNAcentral. Lineage: Eukaryota; Viridiplantae; Streptophyta; Magnoliopsida; Zingiberales; Musaceae.